RNAcentral lists this ribosomal RNA (291 nucleotides) under uncultured bacterium. Its description in RNAcentral is "partial 16S ribosomal RNA". The record is from RNAcentral.
GGACUACUGGGGUAUCUAAUCCUGUUUGCUCCCCACGCUUUCGCGCCUCAGCGUCAGUUACAGCCCAGAAAGUCGCCUUCGCCACUGGUGUUCCUCCACAUCUCUACGCAUUUCACCGCUACACGUGGAAUUCCACUUUCCUCUUCUGCACUCAAGCUUUGCAGUUUCCAUCGCGACUCGAAGUUGAGCUCCGAGUUUAAACGACAGACUUACAAGGCCGCCUGCGCGCGCUUUACGCCCAAUAAUUCCGGACAACGCUUGCCCCCUACGUAUUACCGCGGCGGCUGGCAC